Bos grunniens (domestic yak) is the source of this 2321-nucleotide long non-coding RNA. NCBI's taxonomy places the organism in Eukaryota, Metazoa, Chordata, Mammalia, Artiodactyla, Bovidae. The record is from Ensembl.
GAGGGAGGCGCUUUGGCUGAAAGGCUUUGGAGCAUCCCUGGUCGGGAAGCCAGUGUGGAGGCCGGGCUCAGGCGUGUCCGGCGCCACGAAGGAGCCCUCAGCCUCACUGACCUCGCCGCCCGGGCCCCAGGGAGAGUCGUACCAGGAGGACUCGGAGCUGAGCGAGCUGCCCUUGCUGGAGCGGGGGCGCGCGGCGGCUGCCGGGGAGGCGCGGGGGCUGGGCGCGGAACCGGCCGAGUAGCGCAGCAGCUGCACUGGGCCGCCCGAUGGGGAGGCCCCCGGGGGCGCGGCGCCGCUGUGGAACUCUACCCGCAGGCACCCGUCCAGCUUGCCCAGCGUCUUGAUGAGCACCCGGGGGCUCUUGCGGUCCUCGCCAGGCGGGGUGGAUGCGAUGCUCUCGUUCCCGCCGUAGCAGUUGAGAAGGUGCCCAUUGCGGCAGUCCCUCGAAGCCGAGUGGUUCUCCUCGGGCGGGCGUCCGACAUAGAAAUCUGACCCUGUGGCACCUGUCCUAUGCUUGGCGUAGGCACUGCCUUUGGAGGCUUUGCACGUGGGGCCCCCUGGUCGGGAUGCGUAAGGCUGAUUGCUCUUAAAGUGAGAAAGGCAGCUUCGGCCAACGACCUGGACUUGUACCCCGCUCCGCUGCUUCCAUGACCCCAUCCGUGCAAUGACUUGUCAUCCUUGGCAUGAAGGCCACGGAUUUUCAGGGAGCAAGGCUUUUGUUUAGCACCAGUAAUAGUAUUGCUAUGAUUUUUAGGUCCUUGUAGGGUGUACUGACUCUCGGAGUUUCCCAUCGUCACCUGAAUUAAGAACAGCAGUGUCAGUAAGAGUCAUGACCUAAACUACAUUCCACUAGGACAGAACUUUCUACAAGCUAUGUUCAGGUGACAGAGGAACCAAGCAACCUCUUUCUGGGCCUGACACAACUCAGACACGUAGGGACAAGCGUGACUUGCGGAAUUGGUUCUCCUUCUGCAUUGCAGGUCAUCAGCCAAGUAGACAGCACUGCACAUUCCUGUGCUAGCGAGUUUAAGCACAUUAUCUGUUGUCUGAUGUUAAUUCAGAAACCGAACAGGCAUAGCAAUCAGCUUAAGACAGAGACCUCCUAUAGGCUGGGUGUUGGGAGGUUUUGAAAUCAAUGAUUCUAAAGAGCAAAAUGAGAAAAUCCCUUUACUCUGUCACUGCAAUACACUGAUUUUUCAGUGACCACAGAGACACCUUUCCUUUAUACAUGAAGGACUGAAAGAGCUCAUAUUGCACCCCAAUAUAAGUGGUUACUGCUGAAAAAUGACCAUGUUUGUGGUAAUAUGACUCCGGGUACUGCACUGUGUUGGAGCUUUCAUAUGUCACACAGAAUAGCAUACCUCAAAGGAUAAAGACUAAAUGUUCUCAAAAACUAGGCUGAGGUGAAAAACAGAGGGAGAAAAUAAAAGCUCUCCUUUGGAACAGAACAACAUUUUAAUGAAACUAAUCUCUCGUGCUUUUCUAAAGACUUUAAGGGUCCUCACUUUAGAAACUGAUAAAAGUCUGAAGCUGACUUGUUAGAAUGUGAGCAUCCUAGAAAGAAAUAUUUAAAUUUUUUUAAUUAAAAAAAAAAAAGAAUGUGAGCAUCCAAAAAAAAAAAACAUACCCAAACUUAGAUUCUAUUGAUUUCCUUUAAAACUCCAAUUUGUUUAGAGAGUCUGUUAGUUAAGCAAAAUUCCAGGGGACGAUCCAAACCACCCCACCUCCUCAGUUUUUUUUUAUUCUAACCAAUAUAUCAGUGUUUGAGGCAAGUCAGAAACGAUGCUUCCAGUUACGUUUCUAAUAUAUGAGGUUAGGUUUAGUCAAUCAGUUGUGUCCGACUCUUGCGACCCCAUGGACUGUAUGUAGCCCGCCAGCCUCCUCUGUCCAUGGGAUUCUCCAGGCAAGAAUACUGGAGUGGGUUACCUACUUCUAAUACAUGAAGUUGGUUUUUAAUUUCCAUUCUUUUAUAUGUAAGAAUGUACAGCCACAGAAGUCAAAAGGGCUGACAUUUCUUUGGAGGCAAUGAUCAAGCUCAGUUUAAAACACAAAUAAUGGGAACAAAUAAUUAAACCCUUACUAACACAGCCGUGGCACUGGACAGGAACCACAGCUCCACGGGCCGGACUCACCUGCAGUCUGGUUUGUGCACUGAGGAGAUUAAUGGUCAGUCGACUUGACAGGGUCCCAGGAGCAAGGCAGCGUGGUUAGGAAGUCCAGGCAGUGGAUCCAUGAAAGGAUCCUGAAAAACAAGAAACAGGAGAAAACUCUGUCAAGCACUUUACACCCGGUCCCCCCAAAAGUCAAAAGGAAGGCUUGCC